Molecule: long non-coding RNA, 730 nt
Organism: Brassica napus (rape)
Lineage: Eukaryota; Viridiplantae; Streptophyta; Magnoliopsida; Brassicales; Brassicaceae
Exons: 4
Source: RefSeq, a predicted model, not a curated record
UGAUCGAGACGACUUGGCGUUUACUGAAUUCACGAGAAUGACAAACAAAAUUCAAACUCAAUAGCAUAUUUCUUUAUUAGCAAACUGUAAACUAAGCUUCCUUGGUUGCAUAGUGGAUCUCUCUUUGUGCGUGAGUCAAGUCAAGUGCAGGAUGGGUAGUUGCUUCUCUAUCCAAAUAUCAGGCGAUUCAGUAUUGGACCGUGUUGGUAGCUGCUUAUGCGGAGAGGGCAAUCAUAUUCUUAACCUUGAGAAGAAUUUGGUGGCUCUGGAGAAAGCCAUGGUAGAACUCAAGGCAAGGCGAGAUGAUGUGUUAACAAGGGUCCGAUUUAGAGAAGCCAAAGGUCAACGAAGGCUAAGCGCGCGAAGUCCAGAGGCAGAGAACAUAUCUUCUUUCUCAAAAACUCAGUGAUCUCUUCUGGUAACGUUUUCCAUCCAUAAAAUCAGACCGGACAAGUGGAGGAGAUACAUAUCGAUGUGUUUCCUUCUCACCGAACAAUCACGGUUUCGACUCGCCUUUGAGACCAGAUUCAAUCGGGUGUGAACUUCAAGUCCAAAGAUAGGCGUCGGUAAACACAAGAUGUGCAUGGAUAUUGCGAAGCUGUGAUAAAAUCUCAUCAAUAAUAUUUGAAUUUGCAAGGAGGCUUUUUUUGACAAGAAUUUGAUAGUGUGCAAUUACACUUUUGUAAAGUGAAGCUUAAAUAAAUGACAAACGAUCUAGAACUAACCGUCA